This is a long non-coding RNA of Mauremys mutica (yellowpond turtle), 462 nucleotides long. RefSeq lists it as uncharacterized. The transcript is spliced from 3 exons. Lineage: Eukaryota; Metazoa; Chordata; Testudines; Geoemydidae. The record is from RefSeq and is a predicted model, not a curated record.
GGCCUGCAUGAGGGAAGGAACCAUCUCCUGCAGCUGCAGAACUGCUACAUGGAGGUUACUCCAGCUCAAUGAUUUUUGCUGCCUAGAGUGUAGCCAGUACAAUCCCAAAAAGUGGCAGAAGAGGAAGAAGAGAUGUGGAUGUUGUGGUUAAGGCACUGGACUGUAACACUGCAGAUCUAGAUUUAAUUCCCAGCUCUGCCACAACUUUCAGUUACACUGCAGUCUCUUGGGGGAAGAGACUGUUUCUUACAGCACAUGCGUAUGGUGCCUUGCACAGUGAGGACCUGAUCUUGGCCUGGGGCCUCUAAGUUACUGUAAUCGAAGAAGAAGAUGAAGAAGAAGGAAAUGUAUGAGAUCAAUUUUAAGAAAUUGAUUUCCAGUGUCCACUUGUAUGCCUAUGUUUCCAUGUCCAUUUAGUUCAGCUGCACAUGUAAUCAUCACAGUUGCAUGAGUAAAAGUGUA